GUAAUCCUUAACUUUUUGGGUUUUCUAUCAGAGUAAUCUUUAAAAUUUAUGUGUAUCUAAAUGGAAUAAAAUCUUACUCUAGAACAGAAAUAGUUUUAACAUCCUACAUGUAUCUUUCAUUAGCUGACUGUAAAUGACACAUUUGCCCAAGAAUAUCAAAAAUUCAAAUCUAAACAGGAAGUUCUGUGAGAGCAUGAUGGAGUUAUUUCACUACAAAGAAGUUUAUUUAUAUAGCUCUUUGUUUACUAUGUGCAGUUUAUAUUCAACAUGGAAGUUUAAGAGUGAUGAAAAUAAUACAAAUGGUGAGUCAAUAUAAUUUAUUUAUUUUCCAACAGUAAUCUAGAUUACCUGUAACUAUGAUAAAUCAUGGAUUCAAACUGGAAGCAGGUUGUUUACUUUUCGUUUUGGUAGCUUUCACAAAUGACUGUUGCUUCACAUAUUUUUUUUUUGUUCAAAUGCUUCUGUUUUGCAAAUUAAACAGUUGUAUGUUUUAGUUUAUCAUGCUUUUAAUUUACUAAAUAAAAAGUGGAUACUUUUAAAUGAUAUUAUUCAACGGAGACAAAAACUUUAAACCAGUAGAGUUAUCUCCCCAGUCACAGGGUAAACAAUGCUACCAGUCUGCUUACCAUGGCACUGCAAUUACUUCAGUCUGUAAAUUCAGAGAAUAAUAUUUUGCUUUAAAAUUAGUGUUUUAACCUGUUUUUACUUAUUAAUUAUUCUAUUGGUGCUGCACACAUUUAUGUUAAGGUAAAUGAAAAUUAUUGUUAACAAAAAUAAUUGUUUAUGGAUUAUUUACUUGCUUUUAUAAAUGAUUAUAUGAGCCACGCCAUGAGAAAACCAGCCACUAUGUUGGUUUUCUCAUGGCAUGGCUCAUAUUGUUUAUUUUACAAGACUGGGGUAAUUAAAUUUAUUAAUUUAAUCAUGUUCAUCCAGAUAAUUCUUUCAAUCUAUUGAAGAGUAUAAUGUAAUAAGAAUAAAGACUAAUGUAACCCUCUAUUUACUAUACAUUUGGUAGAACUAGUGACUUUUUUUGGCCCCAUCAUCACAAUGUAUACAGUUAAAAUUUUAGUUCAUUGACAUACCCAAUAAUAAACCAAAGGUUUUUAUGAACAUUUUAAGUUUUAAACUAAAUCUAUUUUCAGGUACAGCACCAUAUGUCAUGUAUGUAUAUAGGUAUGGCACACAUGAAUGAAUUGGGACCUUAUCAACGUAUUGUGUUCAAAGAAGACCUAACGAAUCCAGCAGUUCAAAAACAUGUUUUGCAGUGAGACAAAUGGUGACAAUGACUUUGUGGCAGUUAGUGAAAAACUGUGGCAUUUUACACUGAUGAUGGCUACCAUUUACAGAAAAUUUCUCAGCCAGUAGUGACAUUCAAUUGAAAGUAAUAGCAUAUCUUAGACCGACUAUACAUCAGAAUGUUGUUGAAAAAAGCCAUGGCAAAAAGUGGAAAAUACUGAUCAAUAUACUUCAAUGACUUUGGAACUGAGUAGAAAAUGGUGACAUUUUAGCACCAUAUUGUGUGUAUACUUUUUCUUGCAUCCGCACAGUCCGGCCAGGAUCCAUGCUGUUCACUAAUGGUUUCUAUGGUUGCAAUAGCAUUUGAAAGCGAGCAGCAUGGAUCCUGACCAAAUCGAGCUGAUGCGCAGGCUGGUCUGUAGCCAUGCUGAUCGCAAAGCCUCUAUGUUGGUUUUCUCCUGGCACGGCUCAUAUAUAAAUUCAUGUAUGUAAAUAAUGUUUUGCUUAUAGUAUUUUGUCAGCACAGGUAAUGAAAUACUAAAAAAACAUAAAAUAUUUUGUUAGUGUUUUGUUUAAAUUUGUGACCUUGCUCUUUUGCAUAUCAUAAAUUAUUAUAUGUUUUGUUGGUAUUUUGUUAGCAGUGUUUUGUUAGUGUUUUCUUUAGCACAUAUAAUGAAACACUAAUAAAACAUAAAGUAUUCUGUUAGUGUUUUGUAUAAGCCUAAUUUGCAUAUCAUGUUUUGUUGGUAUUUCGUUAGCAAUGUUUUGUUAGUGUUUUGUUAGUGUUUUGUUACCUCAUUUGCAUGUCAUUUGCUAUACUAAUAAAACAUCAUCAAAACACA
Molecule: long non-coding RNA, 2078 nt
Organism: Mercenaria mercenaria
Lineage: Eukaryota; Metazoa; Mollusca; Bivalvia; Venerida; Veneridae
Exons: 2
Source: RefSeq, a predicted model, not a curated record